GGCCUGGGCCUCCCUCUGUGGGGCGAUCGAUCAUGGGGCUCCGUGAUUGAUGGCUCCGCAGAGGGAGGCCCUGCCCAC
RNAcentral lists this microRNA precursor (78 nucleotides) under Eptesicus fuscus (big brown bat). Its description in RNAcentral is "microRNA efu-mir-9242 precursor (efu-mir-9242-2)". The stretch from base 7 to 70 matches the Rfam family "mir-9242 microRNA precursor family". The record is from miRBase by way of RNAcentral. Lineage: Eukaryota; Metazoa; Chordata; Mammalia; Chiroptera; Vespertilionidae.